UACGUAGGGUGCAAGCGUUGUCCGGAAUUAUUGGGCGUAAAGAGCUCGUGGGCGGUCUGUCGCGUCGGCUGUGAAAACCCGGGGCUCAACCCCGGGCCUGCAGUCGAUACGGGCAGACUAGAGUGCGGUAGGGGAGACUGGAAUUCCUGGUGUAGCGGUGAAAUGCGCAGAUAUCAGGAGGAACACCGGUGGCGAAGGCGGGUCUCUGGGCCGUAACUGACGCUGAGGAGCGAAAGCGUGGGGAGCAAACAGG
Molecule: ribosomal RNA, 253 nt
Filed under: uncultured bacterium
Lineage: Bacteria
Description: partial 16S ribosomal RNA
Rfam family: Bacterial small subunit ribosomal RNA
Source: RNAcentral